This 324-nucleotide ribosomal RNA is filed under the name uncultured eukaryote. Its description in RNAcentral is "partial 18S ribosomal RNA". It matches the Rfam family "Eukaryotic small subunit ribosomal RNA", at positions 1470 to 1796 of the family's 1831-position model. The record is from RNAcentral.
CCCCUAGAUGUUCUGGGCCGCACGCGCGCUACACUGAACAGUUCAACAAGUCUUAACCUUGGCCGAUAGGUCUGGGUAAUCUUUGAACGCUGUUCGUGAUUGGGAUAGACCUUUGCAAUUAUGGGUCUUCAACGAGGAAUUCCUAGUAAACGCAAGUCAUCAGCUUGCAUUGAUUACGUCCCUGCCCUUUGUACACACCGCCCGUCGCUCCUACUGAUUGAGUGAUCCGGUGAAUAUUUUGGACUGCAGCAUAGCUCAGUUCCUGAGUGUUGCAGCAUGAAGUUUAGUGAACCUUAUCACUUAGAGGAAGGAGAAGUCGUAACA